CCCAACACACGUGCCAGCCCCAGGGAGACCCCAGCAGCGUCCCCGCGCCCUGGGCUGUCAGUGAGCGCAGGGAUGGGGAGGCCGCGGGGGCUGUCCUGGGUGAUCCAGCUAAUGCACCUGUGGGUGGCCAGCGGGCAGCUCUCUGUGGAGCAGAGCCCGGAAUGGCUGGAUGUCUCGGAGGGGCAGAAUGGCACCGUGACCUGCACUUACUCCAGCACUAUCCAAAGUUUACACUGGUACCGGCAGGCUCCAGGGGAGCGGCCCGUUUUCCUGCUGAUGCUGUUCGGCAAGGGGAGCAAGACACAAGAACCGAAUUUCACUGCGGAUCACGAUCCGGGGCAGAAGCGGAGCUCCCUGCACAUCCGCGGCUGCCAGCUGGGGGACGCCGCCCGCUACCUCUGCGCCGUGUAG
This is a non-coding RNA of Dermochelys coriacea (leatherback sea turtle), 411 nucleotides long. The record is from the annotation of a RefSeq genome assembly. NCBI's taxonomy places the organism in Eukaryota, Metazoa, Chordata, Testudines, Dermochelyidae.